CGAUGGAGGAUCGGCUUUCACUCUCUUUGCUUUCAUGGAAGCUGCUAGGUUUGCUGCCCAGUGGUUACCAUUUUGUAGGAAGAACGAUAUAGCGAAAAGGAACCCCGAUGAAUUUUUUGCGACCGAUUAUAAGAUGAGUUCUGAAACUGAAGAUAUUAAGGUAAUCCCCAUUCUUAAAUUAUCUAACUGACUAAUAGUUACUGCUAUGAUUAGAAUCCACGUCCUUUGUCAAAAAUAUAUAUUUUUACUAGUCCAAAAAUCAUUAAAAAUAACAACUCAAAAAUAAAAAACUGAAUAGAGAUUGCUUGAAUAGGAAAAACAUACUGUUUUCUCCCCGGCAAGCCAAUGAAACCAAAUCCAUCAAUAAAGGAGGCAAAGGACAAUAAUUCCACGUUUUAGCUGCAAAAGUUGGGAGAAGC
Molecule: long non-coding RNA, 419 nt
Filed under: Gossypium barbadense (sea-island cotton)
Lineage: Eukaryota; Viridiplantae; Streptophyta; Magnoliopsida; Malvales; Malvaceae
Description: long non-coding RNA (GBAR_LNC011997)
Source: RNAcentral